UGGGGAAUAUUGGACAAUGGGCGGAAGCCUGAUCCAGCAACGCCGCGUGAGGGAUGACGGCCUUCGGGUUGUAAACCUCUUUCAGCACCGGCGAAGCGCCCGUAAGGGUGGUGACGGUAGGUGCAGAAGAAGGACCGGCCAACUACGUGCCAGCAGCCGCGGUAAUACGUAGGGUCCGAGCGUUGUCCGGAAUUAUUGGGCGUAAAGGGCUCGUAGGCGGUUUGUCGCGUCGGGAGUGAAAUCACCGGGCUUAACUCGGUGCUUGCUUUCGAUACGGGCAGACUGGAGGCAUGCAGGGGAGAACGGAAUUCCUGGUGUAGCGGUGAAAUGCGCAGAUAUCAGGAGGAACACCGGUGGCGAAGGCGGUUCUCUGGGCAUGUCCUGACGCUGAGGAGCGAAAGUGUGGGGAGCGAACAGG
This 418-nucleotide ribosomal RNA is filed under the name uncultured bacterium. RNAcentral's name for it is "bacterial SSU rRNA". It matches the Rfam family "Bacterial small subunit ribosomal RNA", at positions 355 to 776 of the family's 1533-position model. The record is from RNAcentral.